UAUUUAGCAGUAAAUAAAGAUGCCUAACGGCUUAAUAGGGAAUCUGGUGUGAAUCCAGAGCUGUCCCCGCAACUGUAUAUGCUGACGAAAUAAGAGAACCACUGUGUGAAAAUCUUUUGCUAGAAUAAGAUUUUACAUGGGAAGGACUUAAAGUAGAAUGACGCAUAAGUCAGGAGACCUGUCUUUAUUUAGUAAGUUUC
This 200-nucleotide non-coding RNA is filed under the name Metabacillus harenarius. Lineage: Bacteria; Bacillati; Bacillota; Bacilli; Caryophanales; Bacillaceae. The record is from RNAcentral.